CCUACGGGGGGCAGCAGUGAGGAAUAUUGGUCAAUGGGCGCGAGCCUGAACCAGCCAAGUCGCGUGAGGGAAGACGGUCCUAUGGAUUGUAAACCUCUUUUGUCGGGGAGCAAAAGACGCCACGCGUGGCGUUCCGAGAGUACCCGAAGAAAAAGCAUCGGCUAACUCCGUGCCAGCAGCCGCGGUAAUACGGAGGAUGCGAGCGUUAUCCGGAUUUAUUGGGUUUAAAGGGUGCGCAGGCGGAAGAUUAAGUCAGCGGUAAAAUUGAGAGGCUCAACCUGUUCGAGCCGUUGAAACUGGUUUUCGUGAGUGAGUGAGAGGUAGGCGGAAUGCGUGGUGUAGCGGUGAAAUGCAUAGAUAUCACGCAGAACUCCGAUUGCGAAGGCAGCAUACCGGCGCUCAACUGACGCUCAUGCACGAAAGUGUGGGUAUCGAACAGGAUUAGAUACCCUGGUAGUC
RNAcentral lists this ribosomal RNA (459 nucleotides) under uncultured bacterium. RNAcentral's name for it is "partial 16S ribosomal RNA". It matches the Rfam family "Bacterial small subunit ribosomal RNA", at positions 338 to 795 of the family's 1533-position model. The record is from RNAcentral.